RNAcentral lists this unclassified non-coding RNA (230 nucleotides) under uncultured Phialocephala. Its description in RNAcentral is "sequence contains ITS1". The record is from RNAcentral. RNAcentral also lists the same sequence under 1 other name. Lineage: Eukaryota; Fungi; Ascomycota; Leotiomycetes; Helotiales.
GUAGGUGAACCUGCGGAAGGAUCAUUACAAGUGAGGCUACCGAACGUUGGAAACAGCGGUUAGGAGCUUACACCCACCCGUGUUUACAUACUAUUGUUGCUUUGGCGGGCCGUGGCCUCCACUGCGGGCUCUGCUCGUGUGUGCCCGCCAGAGAACCAAACUCUGAAUGUUAGUGAUGUCUGAGUACUAUCUAAUAGUUAAAACUUUCAACAACGGAUCUCUUGGUUCUG